GCUGAGCCUGGUAGCGUUAGCUUGUAACCCUAGUGGGAGCACUAAGGUGAUAGAAAACCUCAACUGUUAGACUGGGUGGUGUUCUGUGUCACAAAUUUGCUGCCACUAUCAGAUUGUGCCCGUCGUUAAUGACGGUAGGCAUUUAACCCCCUCACCACGAUAAAAGGUCUAACAUAUUCAUUUACCUUCACUUUU
This 195-nucleotide non-coding RNA is filed under the name Phaseolus vulgaris (common bean). The record is from RNAcentral. Lineage: Eukaryota; Viridiplantae; Streptophyta; Magnoliopsida; Fabales; Fabaceae.